This 742-nucleotide ribosomal RNA is filed under the name Vibrio sp. CCH-31. RNAcentral describes it as "bacterial SSU rRNA". It matches the Rfam family "Bacterial small subunit ribosomal RNA", at positions 48 to 771 of the family's 1533-position model. Lineage: Bacteria; Pseudomonadati; Pseudomonadota; Gammaproteobacteria; Vibrionales; Vibrionaceae. The record is from RNAcentral.
CUAACACACGCAAGUCGAGCGGAAACGACACUAACAAUCCUUCGGGUGCGUUAAUGGGCGUCGAGCGGCGGACGGGUGAGUAAUGCCUAGGAAAUUGCCUUGAUGUGGGGGAUAACCAUUGGAAACGAUGGCUAAUACCGCAUGAUGCCUACGGGCCAAAGAGGGGGACCUUCGGGCCUCUCGCGUCAAGAUAUGCCUAGGUGGGAUUAGCUAGUUGGUGAGGUAAUGGCUCACCAAGGCGACGAUCCCUAGCUGGUCUGAGAGGAUGAUCAGCCACACUGGAACUGAGACACGGUCCAGACUCCUACGGGAGGCAGCAGUGGGGAAUAUUGCACAAUGGGCGAAAGCCUGAUGCAGCCAUGCCGCGUGUAUGAAGAAGGCCUUCGGGUUGUAAAGUACUUUCAGUUGUGAGGAAGGGUGUGUAGUUAAUAGCUGCGCAUCUUGACGUUAGCAACAGAAGAAGCACCGGCUAACUCCGUGCCAGCAGCCGCGGUAAUACGGAGGGUGCGAGCGUUAAUCGGAAUUACUGGGCGUAAAGCGCAUGCAGGUGGUUCAUUAAGUCAGAUGUGAAAGCCCGGGGCUCAACCUCGGAACUGCAUUUGAAACUGGUGAACUAGAGUACUGUAGAGGGGGGUAGAAUUUCAGUGUAGCGGUGAAAUGCGUAGAGAUCUGAAGGAAUACCAGUGGCGAAGGCGGCCCCUGGACAGAUACUGACACUCAUAUGCGAAAGCGUGGGGAGCAA